Molecule: long non-coding RNA, 371 nt
Organism: Oncorhynchus tshawytscha (Chinook salmon)
Lineage: Eukaryota; Metazoa; Chordata; Actinopteri; Salmoniformes; Salmonidae
Source: Ensembl
CUGCCUUCUACUGUGAUGGAGAAUGCCUCUACCCUCUGUGUUCCUGCAUAAACUCCACCACCCACACUAUGAUCCAACUAGUGGUUUGUUGAACAUGAGUGGAAAUGAAACUCCAGCACACUGGUAGCACUAAAGACGUGUGAGUAUAACUUUUCCAGUCUGGCACUAAGUGUGACAACAUUCAGGUGGCUGGUCUGACCGUGUCCUACAACGGGUCCCCUGGUGUACGAUGGCAGCCUGUUGUCAGAGUGUAACAGAGACUGCUCCUGCUUGGCUGGGGAGUGGGACCCUGUGUGUUCAGACAACGGCAUCACCUACACCUCCCCCUGCCUCGCAGGCUGCUCCAGCUUUACAGGUUAUGGCAAGAACAC